AGUGAACGCUGGCGGUAGGCCUAACACAUGCAAGUCGAACGGCAGCACAGUAAGAGCUUGCUCUUACGGGUGGCGAGUGGCGGACGGGUGAGGAAUACAUCGGAAUCUACUUUUUCGUGGGGGAUAACGUAGGGAAACUUACGCUAAUACCGCAUACGACCUACGGGUGAAAGCAGGGGAUCUUCGGACCUUGCGCGAUUGAAUGAGCCGAUGUCGGAUUAGCUAGUUGGCGGGGUAAAGGCGCACCAAGGCGACGAUCCGUAGCUGGUCUGAGAGGAUGAUCCGCCACACUGUCACUGAGACACGGCCCCGACUCCUACGGUAGGCCGCAGUGGGGAAUAUUGCACAAUGGGCGCAAGCCUGAUCCAGCCAUACCGCGUGGGUGCAGGAGGCCUUCGGGUUGUAAAGCCCUUUUGUUGGGAAAGAAAAGCAGCAGGUUAAUCCCCCGCUGUUCUGACGGUACCCAAAGAAUAAGCACCGGCUAACUUCGUG
This 492-nucleotide ribosomal RNA is filed under the name uncultured bacterium. RNAcentral describes it as "partial 16S ribosomal RNA". It matches the Rfam family "Bacterial small subunit ribosomal RNA", at positions 29 to 507 of the family's 1533-position model. The record is from RNAcentral.